UUUUGAAAUCCUGCUAACGCAGGGUGAAAUUGCGCUUACGCGCAGUGAAAUAUUGCUUCGCAAUGUGAAAUACGCC
Molecule: small RNA, 76 nt
Organism: Clostridium sp. CAG:226
Lineage: Bacteria; Bacillati; Bacillota; Clostridia; Eubacteriales; Clostridiaceae
Rfam family: Gut-1 RNA
Source: Rfam